UACGUAGGGGGCAAGCGUUGUCCGGAUUUAUUGGGCGUAAAGAGCGUGUAGGCGGCCAUGCAGGUCAGCUGUGAAAACUCGAGGCUCAACCUCGAGACGUCGGUUGAAACCGUAUGGCUAGAGUCCGGAAGAGGAGAGUGGAAUUCCCGGUGUAGCGGUGAAAUGCGCAGAUAUCAGGAGGAACACCGGUGGCGAAGGCGGGUCUCUGGGCCGAUACUGACGCUGAGGAGCGAAAGCGUGGGGAGCGAACAGG
This 253-nucleotide ribosomal RNA is filed under the name uncultured bacterium. RNAcentral describes it as "partial 16S ribosomal RNA". It matches the Rfam family "Bacterial small subunit ribosomal RNA", at positions 524 to 776 of the family's 1533-position model. The record is from RNAcentral.